GACGAACGCUGGCGGCGUGCUUAACACAUGCAAGUCGAACGGAAAGGCCCUGCUUUUGUGGGGUGCUCGAGUGGCGAACGGGUGAGUAACACGUGAGUAACCUGCCCUUGACUUUGGGAUAACUUCAGGAAACUGGGGCUAAUACCGGAUAGGAGCUCCUGCUGCAUGGUGGGGGUUGGAAAGUUUCGGCGGUUGGGGAUGGACUCGCGGCUUAUCAGCUUGUUGGUGGGGUAGUGGCUUACCAAGGCUUUGACGGGUAGCCGGCCUGAGAGGGUGACCGGCCACAUUGGGACUGAGAUACGGCCCAGACUCCUACGGGAGGCAGCAGUGGGGAAUAUUGCACAAUGGGCGGAAGCCUGAUGCAGCAACGCCGCGUGCGGGAUGACGGCCCUCGGGUUGUAAACCGCUUUCGCCUGUGACGAAGCGUGAGUAACGGUAAUGGGUAAAGAAGCACCGGCUAACUACGUG
Molecule: ribosomal RNA, 468 nt
Filed under: uncultured bacterium
Lineage: Bacteria
Description: partial 16S ribosomal RNA
Rfam family: Bacterial small subunit ribosomal RNA
Source: RNAcentral